UACGUAGGGGCAAGCGUUGUCCGGAUUUAUUGGGCGUAAAGAGCGUGUAGGCGGCCAGGUAGGUCGGUUGUGAAAACUGGAGGCUCAACCUUCAGACGUCGACCGAAACCAUCUGGCUAGAGUCCGGAAGAGGAGAGUGGAAUUCCUGGUGUAGCGGUGGAAUGCGCAGAUAUCAGGAAGAACACCGGUGGUGUAGACGGCUCUCUGGACCGUAACUGACGCUGAGGCACGAAAGCGUGGGUAGCAAACAGG
This 252-nucleotide ribosomal RNA is filed under the name uncultured bacterium. RNAcentral describes it as "partial 16S ribosomal RNA". It matches the Rfam family "Bacterial small subunit ribosomal RNA", at positions 524 to 776 of the family's 1533-position model. The record is from RNAcentral.